Molecule: ribosomal RNA, 253 nt
Filed under: uncultured bacterium
Lineage: Bacteria
Description: partial 16S ribosomal RNA
Rfam family: Bacterial small subunit ribosomal RNA
Source: RNAcentral
UACAGAGGUCCCAAGCGUUGUUCGGAUUCACUGGGCGUAAAGGGUGCGCAGGUGGUCGGGUAAGUCUGAUGUGAAAUCCCGCAGCUUAACUGCGGAAUGGCAUUGGAUACUAUUCGGCUAGAGGGUUGGAGGGGGGACUGGAAUUCUCGGUGUAGCAGUGAAAUGCGUAGAUAUCGAGAGGAACACCAGUGGCGAAGGCGAGUCCCUGGACAACUCCUGACGCUGAGGCACGAAAGCUAGGGGAGCAAACGGG